UACAGAGGGUGCGAGCGUUAAUCGGAAUUACUGGGCGUAAAGCGUGCGUAGACGGUUAUUUAAGUCGGGUGUGAAAGCCCCGGGCUCAACCUGGGAAUUGCAUUCGAGACUGAAUAGCUAGGGUACGGUAGAGGGAAGUGGAAUUUCCGGUGUAGCGGUGAAAUGCGUAGAUAUCGGGAGGAACACCUGUGGCGAAAGCGGCGCACUGGACCACAUCUGACGCUGAGGCGCGAAAGCUAGGGGAGCAAACAGG
Molecule: ribosomal RNA, 253 nt
Filed under: uncultured bacterium
Lineage: Bacteria
Description: partial 16S ribosomal RNA
Rfam family: Bacterial small subunit ribosomal RNA
Source: RNAcentral